GAUGAAGAACGCAGCGAAAUGCGAUACGUAAUGUGAAUUGCAGAAUUCAGUGAAUCAUCGAGUCUUUGAACGCACAUUGCGCCCCCUGGUAUUCCGGGGGGCAUGCCUGUUCGAGCGUCAUUACACCACUCAAGCUAUGCUUGGUAUUGGGCGUCGUCCUUAGUUGGGCGCGCCUUAAAGACCUCGGCGAGGCCACUCCGGCUUUAGGCGUAGUAGAAUUUAUUCGAACGUCUGUCAAAGGAGAGGAACUCUGCCGACUGAAACCUUUAUUUUUCUAGGUUGACCUCGGAUCAGGUAGGGAUACCCGCUGAACUUAAGCAUAUCAAUAAGCGGAGGA
RNAcentral lists this unclassified non-coding RNA (337 nucleotides) under soil metagenome. RNAcentral describes it as "partial contains 5.8S ribosomal RNA, internal transcribed spacer 2, and large subunit ribosomal RNA". The stretch from base 1 to 120 matches the Rfam family "5.8S ribosomal RNA", at positions 35 to 154 of the family's 154-position model. The record is from RNAcentral.